AGUUCUUCUUUAUCAACCAUCGGCCGUGUGACCCAGCAAAGGUUUCCAAACUUGUGAAAGAAGUGUAUCACAUGUACAACAGACACCAGCAUCCAUGUGUUGUUCUGAACAUAUGUGCGGACUCAGAGUCUGUUGAGAUCAAUGUAACACCCGACAAAAGGCAAACAUUUCUGCAAGAAGAAAAGCUUUUACUAGCAGUUCUCAAAACUUCAAUGAUGGGAAUGUUUGGCAGCGAUGUUAACAAACUUGUCCUCAGUCAGAAGCUGAUGGAUGUUGA
Molecule: long non-coding RNA, 277 nt
Organism: Sceloporus undulatus (fence lizard)
Lineage: Eukaryota; Metazoa; Chordata; Lepidosauria; Squamata; Phrynosomatidae
Exons: 3
Source: RefSeq, a predicted model, not a curated record